This is a long non-coding RNA of Papaver somniferum (opium poppy), 763 nucleotides long. RefSeq lists it as uncharacterized. The record is from RefSeq and is a predicted model, not a curated record. The transcript is spliced from 2 exons. Lineage: Eukaryota; Viridiplantae; Streptophyta; Magnoliopsida; Ranunculales; Papaveraceae.
GCUUUUGCAUUGUGUUGAUCAAACCAUUAAACACAAAAUGAGUUCAUUUUUAGUAGAUAACUCAGAUACCCUAUUGAUUCUUCUCUUAGUCUUUAGUUCUCUUUUUGUCAUUCACAAUGUUAUUAGCAAUGGAAAACAACAAUUCAAAAUAGAUCUCACUCACUUUCAUGAUGAGACUAUAUAUUGAUCGAAUUCACAAGAAAUUUAAGGUUAAUCAAGAGAAAAAUGAUGUCCAUAGUUUGUGCUGCAACUUAUCUUUUAGAGUAGUAUUCUGAUAAGCUAGCAGGAGAGGUAGCUGCAGAUUUUGGAUAUCCAACCCUUUUGAUCCACCAUGUAUAUAUGUAACGUCAAGAAAGCAGUUCAUUUUGCUUGGAAAAAGCCCUGUAAUGCAAAGGUUUGCAAGGGGAAACUAAAACUAGAUCUUACGCAAUUUCGUGAUGGAAGUGUUGGUCGAAUUCACAAAAAAAAGGUUAAACAUGAAAUGGGGAUAGCUGAUGCCUGAUUUCCUAUCCUAGCCUUUUCCUUGGCCAUGUAUGUAAGCAAUUCAUAUAGUUUUUAAAAGUCUUCUCAAUAAUGUAUGUUUAAUUCUAUCAUCGUUGUUAGAUUCUUGUAAUGCAACGGUUGGAUAUUUGGAUCCGUUUUACUUGUGGAUUUUAAUCUGUAUUUUCUUGACCUUGUGUUGCAAAGAUUGUACAUAUUGGUGCAGAAACAGAGAGUGUGCACAAAAUCAAAAAAAAAUUCUGUUUUAAUCUGUUUUACUUAA